UUGGAGGGCAAGUCUGGUGCCAGCAGCCGCGGUAAUUCCAGCUCCAAUAGCGUAUAUUAAAGUUGUUGCAGUUAAAAAGCUCGUAGUUGAAUUCGGGAUCAGAGUGUCGGUCGUGCCUCGGUACGCACUGGUAUUAUUGGUUCCUACCUUCUGAAGAACCGCGAUGUCAUUAAUUUGGUGUCGUGGGGAAUCAGGACUGUUACUUUGAAAAAAUUAGAGUGUUUAAAGCAGGCUUACGCUUGAAUACAUUAGCAUGGAAUAAUGAAAUAGGACGUUUGAUUCUAUUUUGUUGGUUUCUAGGAUUGACGUAAUGAUUAAUAGGGAUAGUUGGGGGCAUUAGUAUUCAAUUGUCAGAGGUGAAAUUCUUGGAUUUAUUGAAGACUAGCUACUGCGAAAGCAUUUGCCAAGGAUGUUUUCAUUAAUCAAGAACGAAAGUUAGGGGAUCGAAGACGAUCAGAUACCGUCGUAGUCUUAACCAUAAACUAUGCCGACUAGGGAUCGGAUGACGUUAAUUUUUUAAUGACUCAUUCGGCGCCUUACGGGAAACCAAAGUGUUUGGGUUC
RNAcentral lists this ribosomal RNA (563 nucleotides) under uncultured Glomeromycotina. Its description in RNAcentral is "SSU rRNA". It matches the Rfam family "Eukaryotic small subunit ribosomal RNA", at positions 548 to 1114 of the family's 1831-position model. The record is from RNAcentral. Lineage: Eukaryota; Fungi; Glomeromycota.